GAAAAAGCGUAUCCUCGUUGCUGGCCCUUUGACUUCUUCAACUUUGGCAGUUUUGAGGCUUGUUGCAUUACACACGUUGUGUCCGAAAAUGAAACGUUGUGGUCCUCCGUCAGCUGCGAUUGAAUUGCGAGUUUGGUGGUUAUAUAGAGGUCCUCUAAGUCAGCGCGCCCUCCAUCCUCGGCAUCCAACCUUUCGAUGUCUGUCUGAAUCGUCAGGAUUUGCUUGAAAUAAGAUUCCAGGAUACCCAGGCGGCACUUGUAUUCAGCAGGUGAAAGUGCUUUUCCACCUGAUCGCAAACUACCGUCGAUGAUAUUUUUGAUUCGAGUGAUGUUUUUCUUGACAUUUGCACGUAUAGUGGUUACUUACGUUUGGGUGGACGACGGAAGGCAAACCAGUAGCGGCGGCGUAAAGGUGGUGAAACAGGAGUCCAGAAGAGACCAGUGGAGACCAGAAAACUAGUGCUGCUGGGCAAUGGUUAUGGCAAUUAGGUUCCAGUGCUCAACGAGGAUGAUAAAGUCCAGCGGUGUAGUCCAAUGGUGGAGUCCCGUGCUGACC
Molecule: long non-coding RNA, 555 nt
Organism: Rhagoletis zephyria (snowberry fruit fly)
Lineage: Eukaryota; Metazoa; Arthropoda; Insecta; Diptera; Tephritidae
Source: RefSeq, a predicted model, not a curated record